Long non-coding RNA from Microtus ochrogaster (prairie vole), 1806 nucleotides. RefSeq lists it as uncharacterized. The record is from RefSeq and is a predicted model, not a curated record. NCBI's taxonomy places the organism in Eukaryota, Metazoa, Chordata, Mammalia, Rodentia, Cricetidae. The transcript has 2 exons.
GGCCCUCACCGGAUGGAGCACAGGAGGAAACAAAAGUGCUUGUGUUAACAGAAUGUCAUUUCCCAACAUGAGUCAGGCUCAACGCUGAGGCAGGGAAAGGAGAGCAAAUGCCUUCCCAUUCAUCACGACGGACACGGCUAUUUUUAGAGCAACAGCAGCUCGGUGCUGGGCUCCAAAGACCCUGCCGUGGAAGGAAAUGAGGCUCAGGCGAUGGUAGAGCUGGCCAGGAGUAGAGAGUCCGAGAGCAUGCUUGUGUUUGUGGAUGCACAGAAAGGGGGGAAGGCAAGCCUUCCUCUCUAAACUUCACUUCAAUCCUGAACCUAAUCCCUGUGUGAGCACGGGGAGAGAAAUGGAGCAGGGCUAUCACAGACAAGAACUGUGAGUCAGCACUGUGUUCAGGCCGGGCGCUCGGCUACCCUGAGAACCAUCUAGAUUACCUGGACAGACAGACAGACAGACAGACAGACAGACAGACAGACAAGGUUUGGAGGAAGACAUACUGCCCAAGGAGCCAGGUGCUUCAAUCCCAACUCUGUACCUGGUUUAUGACUUUGACUCAACCACCCACCUGUAUGGACCAGAAAAGGAACGGCUUGGACGACACACUCUUGAAAGUUCCUCUUCGGAAUAGCACAAAACAAGUCUAAGGAAGGAGGUGGAAACUUCUAAAUAUUCUCCCCCAGAAAGCUGGUUCUUGGACCGAGGGAGUGGACUUGGCAGAAAGGGCAUGGAUAGCUAACAGAUAUCCAUCUCUCAAAUGCUAUUUAAGGACCACAACAGGUAUCCUCUGCACGACAGGUUAUCGCUUUCCCAUUGCACAGAUAUGUGCGUGACCACUGAGGUUCAAGGCAACGAUAGGCCUAAACUUUUAUCUUCCUGAGGUGGAAGCUCAUGUGCUUUUUGUCACACCAUACCCUCCCGAUGGACCAUCAGGGACAGCGAAUUCUGUUUUCCUCACUCCAAACAUCCUUUUAAAAGCCUGGCCCUCUAUGAACUCCAUUUUUUUCCUUCUAUGACUUUGUUUAUUAUUAAAAGACGGCUGUAAUUCUGUGUACCUUGAGCUGUACUGGGAAAACCGAAGGACAGUGUGGCCAAGUGCGUGGCCCUGUGUGCCACCAGAUCCUCUUGUACAAGCUGCCACCAGACGACAUCAUCGGCAAGUUUCUACACUGUGCUCUUACUUCUAGAAGAGGAGAUGAGUCCGACGCCAGCCCACUUCUUUCCAGGCACCUGAAGCCAGCCAGCUCCCUGUUCCCCUUUUCUUUGGGUGGCUUUGUGCAGGAAGAUUCUGGCAGGCUGGGGUCUGAUUGCUUGGCUAGGUCUCUCAUGAAGCUUAGUGUGGUGAUAUUUUGUAUGAUCUAACAAAUAAAGCUUGUCUGAAGAUCAGAGUGUAGAGCUAGCCACACUAGUUAGCCAUUGAAGCCGGGCAGUGGUGGCAGGCACCUUUAAUCCCAGUACUUAGGAGACAGAGGGAUCUCUGUUAGUUCAAGGCUACCCUGGACUAGGAAACUGAUCCAGUCUAAAAGAGAAACAGAGUUAAGGAGUGGUGGUUUGCACCUUUAAUCCCAGUAUUUGGGAUUCACAUGCCUUUAAUCCCAUCACUAAGGAGGUGAAGGGAUAUGGUUGAAUAGAGAGAGGGAUAUACGGUAAGAGGAGACAGGAGCAUCGCUGUCAGUCUGAUGAGCAGUCCGUCUGAGGAGACAGCCUGAGGAUAGGAUCACCCCUUUGGUCUGAGCUUUGGUAGAGGUAAACUACCACUACUCCAGUGGCCACUCUGCUUCUCUGAUCUUUCACCUGUCACCCCCU